UAGGGAAUCUUCCACAAUGGGCGCAGCCUGAUGGAGCAACACCGCGUGAGUGAAGAAGGGUUUCGGCUCGUAAAGCUCUGUUGUUAAAGAAGAACACGUAUGGGAGUAACUGUUCAUACGUUGACGGUAUUUAACCAGAAAGUCACGGCUAACUACGUGCCAC
This 163-nucleotide ribosomal RNA is filed under the name uncultured bacterium. RNAcentral describes it as "partial 16S rRNA". It matches the Rfam family "Bacterial small subunit ribosomal RNA", at positions 355 to 511 of the family's 1533-position model. The record is from RNAcentral.